GGGUGAGUAACACGUGGAUGAUCUACCCUCUGGUGAGGAAUACCCCUGGGAAACCGGGAAUAAUACCGCAUAAGCUCGAGAGAGGAAAGCAGCAAUGCGCCGGAAGAGGAGUCCGCGGCCGAUUAGCUAGUUGGCAGGGUAAAAGCCUACCAAGGCGAAGAUCGGUAGCCGGCCUGAGAGGGCACACGGCCACACUGGCACUGAAACACGGGCCAGACUCCUACGGGAGGCAGCAGUGGGGAAUCUUGCACAAUGGGGGAAACCCUGAUGCAGCGACGCCGCGUGAGCGAUGAAGCCCUUCGGGGUGUAAAGCUCCUUCGGCAGGGAAGAUGAUGACGGUACCUGCAGAAGCAGCUGCGGCUAACUACGUGCCAGCAGCCGCGGUAAUACGUAGGCAGCAAGCGUUGUUCGGAGUUACUGGGCGUAAAGGGUGUGUAGGCGGUUGUUUAAGUUUGGUGUGAAAUCUCCCGGCUCAACUGGGAGGGUGCGCCGAAUACUGAAUGACUCGAGUGCGGGAGAGGAGAGUGGAAUUCCUGGUGUAGCGGUGAAAUGCGUAGAUAUCAGGAGGAACACCGGUGGUGUAGACGGCUCUCUGGACCGUAACUGACGCUGAGACACGAAAGCGUGGGUAGCAAACAGGAUUAGAUACCCUGGUAGUCCACGCCCUAAACGAUGCAUAUUUGGUGUGGGCCGUUCAGUCGGUCCGUGCCGGAGCUAACGCGUUAAAUAUGCCGCCUGGGGAGUACAGUCGCAAGGCUGAAACUCAAAGGAAUUGACGGGGGCCCGCACAAGCGGUGGAGCAUGUGGUUCAAUUCGACGCA
Molecule: ribosomal RNA, 821 nt
Filed under: uncultured Acidobacteriota bacterium
Lineage: Bacteria; Pseudomonadati; Acidobacteriota
Description: bacterial SSU rRNA
Rfam family: Bacterial small subunit ribosomal RNA
Source: RNAcentral